GACGAACGCUGGCGGCGUGCUUAACACAUGCAAGUCGAACGGAAGGGCCCUGCUUUUGUGGGGUGCUCGAGUGGCGAACGGGUGAGUAACACGUGAGUAACCUGCCCUUGACUUUGGGAUAACUUCAGGAAACUGGGGCUAAUACCGGAUAGGAGCUCCUGCUGCAUGGUGGGGGUUGGAAAGUUUCGGCGGUUGGGGAUGGACUCGCGGCUUAUCAGCUUGUUGGUGGGGUAGUGGCUUACCAAGGCUUUGACGGGUAGCCGGCCUGAGAGGGUGACCGGCCACAUUGGGACUGAGAUACGGACCAGACUCCUACGGGAGGCAGCAGUGGGGAAUAUUGCACAAUGGGCGGAAGCCUGAUGCAGAAACGCCGCGUGCGGGAUGACGGCCUUCGGGUUGUAAACCGCUUUCGCCUGUGACGAAGCGUGAGUGACGGUAAUGGGUAAAGAAGCACCGGCUAACUACGUG
Molecule: ribosomal RNA, 468 nt
Filed under: uncultured bacterium
Lineage: Bacteria
Description: partial 16S ribosomal RNA
Rfam family: Bacterial small subunit ribosomal RNA
Source: RNAcentral